AUUGAACGCUGGCGGCAGGCCUAACACAUGCCAGUCGAACGGUAACAGGAAGCAGCUUGCUGCUUCGCUGACGAGUGGCGGACGGGUGAGUAAUGUCUGGGAAGCUGCCGGAUGGAGGGGGAUAACUACUGGAAACGGUAGCUAAUACCGCAUAAUGUCGCAAGACCAAAGAGGGGGACCUUCGGGCCUCUGGCCAUCGGAUGUGCCCAGAUGGGAUGAGCUUGUUGGUGGGGUAACGGCUCACCAAGGCGACGAUGCCUAGCUGGUCUGAGAGGAUGACCAGCCACACUGGAACUGAGACACGGUCCAGGCUCCUGAGGGACGCACCAGUGGGCAAUAUUGCACAAUGGGCGCAAGCCUGAUGCAGCGAUGCCGCGUGUAUGAAGACGGCCUUCGGGUUGUAAAGUACUUUCAGCGGGGAGGAAGGGAGUAAAGUUAAUACCUUUGCUCAUUGACGUUACCCGCAGAAGAAGCACCGGCUAACUCCGUG
Molecule: ribosomal RNA, 490 nt
Filed under: uncultured bacterium
Lineage: Bacteria
Description: partial 16S ribosomal RNA
Rfam family: Bacterial small subunit ribosomal RNA
Source: RNAcentral